RNAcentral lists this ribosomal RNA (1341 nucleotides) under uncultured bacterium. RNAcentral's name for it is "partial 16S ribosomal RNA". It matches the Rfam family "Bacterial small subunit ribosomal RNA", at positions 28 to 1381 of the family's 1533-position model. The record is from RNAcentral.
GACGAACGCUGGCGGCGUGCUUAACACAUGCAAGUCGAACGGUAAGGCUCCAGCUUGCUGGGGUACACGAGUGGCGAACGGGUGAGUAACACGUGGGUGACCUGCCCUGCACUUCGGGAUAAGCCUGGGAAACUGGGUCUAAUACCGGAUAGGACUGCACCGUGAGGGUGUGGUGGAAAGUUUUUUCGGUGUGGGAUGGGCCCGCGGCCUAUCAGCUUGUUGGUGGGGUAAUGGCCUACCAAGGCGGCGACGGGUAGCCGGCCUGAGAGGGUGGACGGCCACAUUGGGACUGAGACACGGCCCAGACUCCUACGGGAGGCAGCAGUGGGGAAUAUUGCACAAUGGGCGGAAGCCUGAUGCAGCGACGCCGCGUGGGGGAUGACGGCCUUCGGGUUGUAAACUCCCUUCACCAUCGACGAAGGGUUUCUGACGGUAGAUGGAGAAGAAGCACCGGCUAACUACGUGCCAGCAGCCGCGGUAAUACGUAGGGUGCGAGCGUUGUCCGGAAUUACUGGGCGUAAAGAGCUCGUAGGUGGUUUGUCGCGUCGUCUGUGAAAUUCCGGGGCUUAACUCCGGGCGUGCAGGCGAUACGGGCAUAACUUGAGUACUGUAGGGGAGACUGGAAUUCCUGGUGUAGCGGUGAAAUGCGCAGAUAUCAGGAGGAACACCGGUGGCGAAGGCGGGUCUCUGGGCAGUAACUGACGCUGAGGAGCGAAAGCAUGGGGAGCGAACAGGAUUAGAUACCCUGGUAGUCCAUGCCGUAAACGGUGGGCGCUAGGUGUGGGUUUCCUUCCACGGGAUCCGUGCCGUAGCUAACGCAUUAAGCGCCCCGCCUGGGGAGUACGGCCGCAAGGCUAAAACUCAAAGGAAUUGACGGGGGCCCGCACAAGCGGCGGAGCAUGUGGAUUAAUUCGAUGCAACGCGAAGAACCUUACCUGGGCUUGACAUAUACAGGAUCGCGCCAGAGAUGGUGUUUCCCUUGUGGCUUGUAUACAGGUGGUGCAUGGUUGUCGUCAGCUCGUGUCGUGAGGUGUUGGGUUAAGUCCCGCAACGAGCGCAACCCUUGUCUUAUGUUGCCAGCACGUUGUGGUGGGGACUCGUAAGAAACUGCCGGGGUUAACUCGGAGGAAGGUGGGGAUGACGUCAAAUCAUCAUGCCCCUUAUGUCCAGGGCUUCACACAUGCUACAAUGGUCGGUACAGUGGGUUGCCAGUCCGUGAGGGCGAGCUAAUCCCGCAAAGCCGGUCUCAGUUCGGAUCGGGGUCUGCAACUCGACCCCGUGAAGUCGGAGUCGCUAGUAAUCGCAGAUCAGCAACGCUGCGGUGAAUACGUUCCCGGGCCU